This 441-nucleotide ribosomal RNA is filed under the name uncultured bacterium. RNAcentral describes it as "partial 16S ribosomal RNA". It matches the Rfam family "Bacterial small subunit ribosomal RNA", at positions 338 to 794 of the family's 1533-position model. The record is from RNAcentral.
CCUACGGGAGGCAGCAGUGGGGAAUAUUGGGCAAUGGGCGCAAGCCUGACCCAGCAAUGCCGCGUGAAGGAAGAAGGCUUUCGGGUUGUAAACUUCUUUGACAGGGGAAGAGCAGAAGACGGUACCCUGAAAACAAGCCACGGCUAACUACGUGCCAGCAGCCGCGGUAAUACGUAGGUGGCAAGCGUUGUCCGGAUUUACUGGGUGUAAAGGGCGUGUAGCCGGGAAGGCAAGUCAGAUGUGAAAUCUGGAGGCUCAACCUCCAAAUUGCAUUUGGAACUGUUUUUCUUGAGUACUGGAGAGGCAGACGGAAUUCCUUGUGGAGCGGUGAAAUGCGUAGAGAUAAGGAGGAACACCAGUGGCGAAGGCGGUCUGCUGGACAGCAACUGACGGUGAGGCGCGAAAGCGUGGGGAGCAAACAGGAUUAGAUACCCCAGUAGU